Molecule: transfer RNA, 75 nt
Filed under: Candidatus Peribacteria bacterium RIFCSPHIGHO2_01_FULL_51_35
Lineage: Bacteria; Candidatus Peregrinibacteriota; Candidatus Peribacteria
Also listed under: 5 other names
Description: tRNA-Cys
Rfam family: tRNA
About the family: Transfer RNA (tRNA) molecules are approximately 80 nucleotides in length. Their secondary structure includes four short double-helical elements and three loops (D, anti-codon, and T loops).
Source: RNAcentral
GGUGCCGUAGCCAAGUAGUAAGGCAGGGGUCUGCAAAACCCCCAUGCGUGGGUGCGAUUCCCACCGGCACCUCCA